This 301-nucleotide ribosomal RNA is filed under the name uncultured bacterium. Its description in RNAcentral is "partial 16S ribosomal RNA". It matches the Rfam family "Bacterial small subunit ribosomal RNA", at positions 512 to 808 of the family's 1533-position model. The record is from RNAcentral.
CAGUCGCCAGGGAAUACGGAGGGUGCAAGCGUUAAUCGGAAUUACUGGGCGUAAAGCGCACGCAGGCGGUUUGUUAAGUCAGAUGUGAAAUCCCCGGGCUCAACCUGGGAACUGCAUCUGAUACUGGCAAGCUUGAGUCUCGUAGAGGGGGGUAGAAUUCCAGGUGUAGCGGUGAAAUGCGUAGAGAUCUGGAGGAAUACCGGUGGCGAAGGCGGCCCCCUGGACGAAGACUGACGCUCAGGUGCGAAAGCGUGGGGAGCAAACAGGAUUAGAUACCCGCGUAGUCCCUGUCUCUUAUACC